GGUUCCAUGGUGUAAUGGCUAUCACUCCAGACUCUGAAUCUGGCAAUCUGGGUUCGAAUCCCGGUGGGACCU
RNAcentral lists this transfer RNA (72 nucleotides) under Dermatophagoides pteronyssinus (European house dust mite). RNAcentral describes it as "tRNA-Gln". It matches the Rfam family "tRNA". From Rfam's summary of the family: Transfer RNA (tRNA) molecules are approximately 80 nucleotides in length. Their secondary structure includes four short double-helical elements and three loops (D, anti-codon, and T loops). The record is from RNAcentral. Lineage: Eukaryota; Metazoa; Arthropoda; Arachnida; Sarcoptiformes; Pyroglyphidae.